GCAAUAGCUACUUGCAUCAUUGAAAAUAUGAUGCAAGAUCGACUAUGUCGAAUAAAAUUCUAGGUAGAAUUAUGAUAAUGACAUUGUCUGCCUAUGUGUCUUGACCAAAUUACGUGCCAGCAGUCGCGGUAAUACGUAGAAGACUAGUGUUAUUCAUGUUUAAUCGGUUUAAAGGGUACCUAGACGGUAAAUCAAGCCUAAAAGGAAGGAAAUAAAGGGACUAAUUUACUAGAGUUACUUAUGAGGGGGUAUUAAAGUACUGCUGGUGUAGAGAUGAAAUUCUGUCAUACCUCUUUUCAAUAGAAAAAUAAUGGCACAGGUAUAGGCGAAAGCAUCCCCUUAUGUGAUAACUGACGUUGAGGGACGAAGGCUUUGUGUAGCGAACAGGAUUAGAUACCCCAGUAGUCAAAGCAGAAAAUGAUGAAUGUCAUAGAUUAGAUAUAUAAGUUUAUUCUAUAAAUGAAAGUGUAAGCAUUCCACCUCAAGAGUAAUUUGGCAACAUUGGAACUGAAAUCAUUAGACCGUUUCUGAAACCAGUAGUGAAGUAUGUUGUUUAAUUUGAUAAUCCGCAAAAAACCUUACCACAAUUUGAAUAUUUAUAUUUUUUUUAUUGUUUUUCUUUUUAAUUUUCUUCCGAUUUUCUAGUUAAAGGAAAAUUAGAAGAAAAAGAAAAAAGAGGCAAUAAGAUCUAG
Molecule: ribosomal RNA, 692 nt
Filed under: Melanelia agnata
Lineage: Eukaryota; Fungi; Ascomycota; Lecanoromycetes; Lecanorales; Parmeliaceae
Description: SSU rRNA
Rfam family: Bacterial small subunit ribosomal RNA
Source: RNAcentral